Molecule: long non-coding RNA, 871 nt
Filed under: Setaria viridis
Lineage: Eukaryota; Viridiplantae; Streptophyta; Magnoliopsida; Poales; Poaceae
Description: long non-coding RNA (SVIR_LNC005801)
Source: RNAcentral
GAAAGAGCUAAGAAAAGAGGAGAGGUUCAACAAAGCAUUUUCUCUUGAACAGGAUCGAGUUGCUCUUGAAUAGGAUCGAGCUGCAAAUGAAGAACUACUUCUUGAAGUGAGGAGCUAGGAGGUCCAGUUGCAAAAAGGAGGGAUGAAGAGAGGAUUAUGACCAUGGACCUUACUGCCAUGCUAGAUGAACAAAAGAAAUACUACAUGUCCUUGCGGGCUGAGAUCAUGAGACGACUAUCUAUGCCUAAUACUUAAUUACUAUCAUGUUUGUGUUCUGUUGAUUUUAGGAACUAUUCUGCAAUUUCAAACUUGUUUUAUUUUCUUUGUCUAUCUACCUGUCACUUUAAACCUAUCAAGAUCAAUAAUCCAUGCUUUGAGUUUCAUUCUCCUACUGUUUCGGUUCCUCUUCCUGUUGAUUUGCUUGAGCUAUAUGUCAAUUAGACAGGUGAGUUGUUUAAAGUGACAUCAUAUUUGUAUGGGGACUUGGACGUUAAGGUGCAGUCAGAUUUCCACUUUAGUGUUAUGAAAGGAUAGAAGAUGACAAUUUCUUGGGUAGAUUCUCAGAUCAGUCUUUACAAAAUUAAUCUGCAAAUCUAGGAUUCUGGGUGCCUUCUGCAUCACAUGGUGAUUUUGCUGGAUUUGUAAACUGCUGAGAUAAGUUGCUCACAUUUGUUGGUAAAUUGUAGUUAGUACUUAGCACAUUCCCAAGCCCCAUAACCAAGGUUCUACCACUAAACCAUCCCCUAACCCAUGAACCUACACCUAGAAAAUCACUUGAAAUAUAGGAGAAAUCACAUGAAAAGUAGGGAAUCACAAGAAAUUGAGGAAAGGCCAUCUUAGUCCUAUCCCAUAGCUCAACCCCCUUCAGAAC